GUUCUUUGGGGAGAGCUGCCUGUACCUGUGAAUGAAAAGCCUUAAUCUGCAAGAAUUAAUAUGAAUUUCAGGACACAUUGAUCAUCAACACUUCGAAUGCACUUGCGGCCCCGGGUUCCUCCUGGGGCUACGCCUGUCUGAGCAUUG
Molecule: ribosomal RNA, 147 nt
Filed under: Crocodylus porosus (Australian saltwater crocodile)
Lineage: Eukaryota; Metazoa; Chordata; Crocodylia; Crocodylidae
Description: 5.8S ribosomal RNA (ENSCPRG00005006510.1)
Rfam family: 5.8S ribosomal RNA (bases 32-147)
About the family: 5.8S ribosomal RNA (5.8S rRNA) is a component of the large subunit of the eukaryotic ribosome. It is transcribed by RNA polymerase I as part of the 45S precursor that also contains 18S and 28S rRNA. Functionally, it is thought that 5.8S rRNA may be involved in ribosome translocation.
Source: RNAcentral